Zingiber officinale is the source of this 1486-nucleotide long non-coding RNA. RefSeq lists it as uncharacterized. The record is from RefSeq and is a predicted model, not a curated record. The transcript is spliced from 3 exons. Lineage: Eukaryota; Viridiplantae; Streptophyta; Magnoliopsida; Zingiberales; Zingiberaceae.
AGGAAACAAACCCUACUGAACUUCGGCGUCUGGAUCGCGAAUCUCGUUGGCGGCGACAAUUCCUUCUGCAACAGAUCUUCCGCUUCGAUCGCAAUCCGAUCGAAGAGAGGUUCUUCCUCUCCCCCCGUCCACUCCCAAUCUCUCUCCAUAGAUUCUCUAAGUUGGAGACUCGCCAUCGUUCAACAACGCUGACUAGCCGACGAUCUGUGGGUUACCCGUUCCUGCUGCGUGCUUGCUUGUUCCUCGUCGCAGGAGAGAGCCAGUGGUCUUCCCUUCAUCACCGGUAGUUCACAGAAAAAAACGGAGAAGAAAUGGAUCACUUCAAGGGCCCUAACGAUGUUCGUAAAUUUUGUUGGGGCGAAAAAAGAGGAAUUGGGGGUGCUAAGAGAAAUAUUCAAUUUUAUGGGUCAUUUAUGAUCGAUGGUGACACUUACUCAUUGUAUGACUCGGUAUACCUCUUAAAGGAGGAUGAGUGUGAACCUUAUAUUGGAAAAAUAGUUAAGAUAUGGGAACAACCAGACCACAAGAAGAAAGUGAAGAUUUUAUGGUUUUUCCGCCCAAAUGAACUCGAGAACUAUUUGAUAGAUACUCCGCUAGAGAAGGAAAUAUUUUUAGCCACCGGAGAAGGUGUCGGUCUUUUCAACAUUAACCCAUUGGAAGCCAUUGUCGGCAAGUGUUGUGUGAUUUGCACUUCGAAAGAUGAGAGGAAUGCACAACCAUCAGAUGAAGACUUGAAAAUGGCUGACUAUAUAUUCUACCGCACUUUUGAUGUUCAAACCUGCACGAUAUCUGAAAAGAUUGACGAUAAGAUAGUUGGUGUAGAAGCAAAGUUUCUUCUAAAUCGGAAAGGUCAGUAGCCGAUCUCCAAAUUUGAGCUGAAAGGUUACACUGCUAACAAACAAUCCAAGGACAAUGCCGUUCACGCAAAGUGCAUAUUCAAAAUUAGCAACUACUUUUGUGACGACAGGGGAGAUUCUGUUGGUGGCAAUGUUCACAAUUCAGAUUAUGCGAAAAGUAUAUCUAAUUCUGGCCCUGUCAGUGUUAGAUCUCCCAAAAAGUUGAGGACUUUUGUGGAAGCCUUUGAUAAUACUUGUUCUAAGCAAGCAUCAAGCCAGAGUCUAAUGGUUUUUGUUCUUCGAAUCAGCUGUGCCAAGAAUAUUCUAAGCCGAGGAAUAUGUUCGAGUGGAAAGUGCCUUAAUGCAUCCUUAGAAGGCGUAACUUGAGAUCGAUAUAACAAAGCUACAAACGGAGUGCAAUGAGGAUGGCCCUGCUCAUUUGCAAUAAGAAUCAUCUGAGAAGGGGAACUUGGUGGACAGCAAAACCAAAACCUUUCGAUAUAUUGGUCAAAAAGUCGCCUCUUCGUUUAGCAUCAUUCAAAAAUUUGAACCCUGGAAGUUCUAAAGGUUGCUAAAAGAUCAGUGCAUAUGCAUUAUUACUCUCUAAAUUUUUAUUUAAAAUAGCAGUUCUAUAUAUUGAAUCUAGUGUA